GAUGAACGCUGGCGGCGUGCCUAAUACAUGCAAGUCGAGCGAACAGACGAGGAGCUUGCUCCUCUGACGUUAGCGGCGGACGGGUGAGUAACACGUGGAUAACCUACCUAUAAGACUGGGAUAACUUCGGGAAACCGGAGCUAAUACCGGAUAAUAUAUUGAACCGCAUGGUUCAAUAGUGAAAGACGGUUUUGCUGUCACUUAUAGAUGGAUCCGCGCCGCAUUAGCCAGUUGGUAAGGUAACGGCUUACCAAGGCAACGAUGCGUAGCCGACCUGAGAGGGUGAUCGGCCACACUGGAACUGAGACACGGUCCAGACUCCUACGGGAGGCAGCAGUAGGGAAUCUGCCGCAAUGGGCGAAAGCCUGACGGAGCAACGCCGCGUGAGUGAUGAAGGUCUUCGGAUCGUAAAACUCUGUUAUUAGGGAAGAACAAAUGUGUAAGUAACUAUGCACGUCUUGACGGUACCUAAUCAGAAAGCCACGGCUAACUACGU
RNAcentral lists this ribosomal RNA (496 nucleotides) under uncultured bacterium. RNAcentral describes it as "partial 16S ribosomal RNA". It matches the Rfam family "Bacterial small subunit ribosomal RNA", at positions 28 to 506 of the family's 1533-position model. The record is from RNAcentral.